UAUUUUCAGUUGGUUUGGCAGCGCGAGGACUAGGGUAAUGAUUAAUAGGGAUAGUUGGGGGCAUUAAUAUUUAAUUGUCAGAGGUGAAAUUCUUGGAUUUAUGAAAGAUUAACUUCUGCAGAAAGCAUCUGCCAAGGAUGUUUUCAUUAAUCAAGAACGAAAGUUAGGGGAUCGAAGACGAUCAGAUACCGUCGUAGUCUUAACCAUAAACGAUGCCGACCAGCGAUUAGGAGACGUUGAAUACAAAACACCAACAUCGGUGCGGUCGUCCUUGGCGUCGGUCUUUCGGGGCCGGCGCCGGGGA
This 304-nucleotide ribosomal RNA is filed under the name Acanthamoeba sp. K4. RNAcentral describes it as "SSU rRNA". It matches the Rfam family "Eukaryotic small subunit ribosomal RNA", at positions 828 to 1095 of the family's 1831-position model. The record is from RNAcentral. Lineage: Eukaryota; Discosea; Longamoebia; Acanthamoebidae.